RNAcentral lists this long non-coding RNA (1815 nucleotides) under Lynx pardinus (Iberian lynx). The record is from RNAcentral. Lineage: Eukaryota; Metazoa; Chordata; Mammalia; Carnivora; Felidae.
AAAGGAAGCCAGCUUGCUCGAGGUGGGGGGGGGGGCUCCGCGGGAUGAUGGGGGCAGGGGGUGACGGCGGCAAGAGAGAAACUGGCCCCAUGGCGGUCCCUGGCUUGCCGUGACGGAGCGCGGGCGGUGCCGGGGCUCCUGGGCCAGGCCGUCGCGUGACCCUCGCGACAACACAUCAGGAACUGCAAUUGUUCGCACCUUACGGACGGGAGACCCGCGCUGGGAGGCGCAGGGGCUCGUCAGAGGGGCAGGAGAGCAGGGUUCAUCUGCCUGACCGCUGAGCCUAUGGUGCUGGUCGCCAGGGUGGGCACGUGAGAGGCGCUGCUUGCAGAGGGGUCUCUGUCUGGGACCCUUUCUGGGAUUCCUUGUGGUGCCCGGGAUGUGAGCCCCAGAGGGCACGCUGGCACGACGGUCACCCGCCUGCUCCUGGCGGUGGCCAAGGCAUUUAUUUGUGGGCGUCCCGAGAGACGGAGCCGUUUGUGGUACGUGUUUCCCCAGAGUCCGGUUCCCACUGGGGAGUCAGGGUCCCCCUUUCCUUCCCAACACCCGCCCCCGGGGCCGUUCCGCAGCAGCCCCCGCGGGCCAGGCCCCGCACCCCAGCCGGUGGCUUUGGGGACUCCGCGUGGGGCUGACGUGCCCAACUAGUCAUGCUCUGUAUCUGGGCCUCCACGGAUGUAUUUCCAAUCGUAAAAUGUGUCGUUCAAAAAACAUAUGUGUCAGUGGAGUCCUCGCUGAGCCUGAACCACAUGGGACAUAGUUGUUCUAAUAAACACGAAUGGGCCAGUGUUCACAUUAGAGAGGGAACAGUUUCUCGUGGAAAGGCGGUGCUUUUAACAGAGGCUAAUUAAUAAACAGCGGGUAAUUGUUCGUGGCACAUUGUGGCGGAGAGUAAUUUUCGUUUCAGAGGGUAGAAGGGCCAAACCCCCCUCCCCCCUCAGCCCUUCUGUGUAAUAACCACCUUGGCUUCACCUCUGCCUUGAAUUUUUACAGCUGGAGCUGUUUACCAUCUUCCAACUCUCACGAAGAAAGGAAAAACUAUCACUUAGAGCCAUCGAAAACUCAGCAUCGUACGUGGAUUUCUUCACGUAAAUAAAUCACACGAAGCGAGACUCGUGUUCUCCGAGUGACAUCAUCCGCUGAAGGCCGCCUCCCCCGUCAGAUCAGCGUUGGGUGCUUUCCUCCUCGUGCGGGCGCCCUUUCCGCAAGACCUGGGUCAGCCCGGCACGACCGGGUCCAGAGGGCGAAAACAGUUCCAACUUCACAGACUGCUCGGAAGCUUUGCUUUGGAACCAUAGGUUCUGAGGUUGAAAGGCCGUGAACGCGUCCAGAAGAAACGUGUGCAGCGCCCAGCGGGAGGUGAAGGCCCUUUGGGUCCUUCCGGAGCCGACGGUGACGCUGGCUGCGGCGUCAUCCCCUUGAAAUGAACGAGGAACCGGAAAAUCACCGGGAAGGCGUCCAGGAGAUGUGGCGCAUUUGGCCACGAGAAGGGACAAAGUCCUGACACGUGCCACAACGCGUGUGACCUCGGAAACAUUAUUCUCGGUGAAAGAAACUAGUCACGAGGCCACGUGUCGUCUGGGUCCAUUUACAAGAUGUCUAGGACAGGAAAGUCCGCAGAGACAGAAGGUGGAGGGGUGGCUGACAGGGGCUGGGGGAGGAGUGGGGGGGGGGUGACUGUUGACGGACGUGGGUCUCCUUCUGCUGGGUGAGGACCGUGUUCUGGAACCAGCUGGCUGUACUCAAUGCUAUCACACCGUUCCCUGUAAGACGGUAAAUGUUACGCUGUGUGGACUGGAUCUCAAUACAUCCGUUAUU